UGUGCAUCCUGAUCCUGUUCUUUUACCAAUUGGUCUCCUAGAGGUUGAUCAUUAGGUUUAGCAGAUUCCUGGGUGGUUUGAGCUGGUUCUGUUCCUAGUUCGGGAGAAGUUUUCUGUGCAUUCUGAUCCUGUUCUUUUACCAAUUGGUCUCCUAGAGUUUGAUUAUUAGUUUUAUCGGAUUCCUGGGUGGUUGGAGCUGUUUCUGCCCCUGGUUCUGGAUCAGUUUCCUGUGUAUCC
Astyanax mexicanus (Mexican tetra) is the source of this 237-nucleotide long non-coding RNA. RefSeq lists it as uncharacterized. NCBI's taxonomy places the organism in Eukaryota, Metazoa, Chordata, Actinopteri, Characiformes, Acestrorhamphidae. The transcript has 3 exons. The record is from RefSeq and is a predicted model, not a curated record.